CAGUCGCCGCGGUAAUACGGAGGGAGCUAGCGUUGUUCGGAAUUAUUGGGCGUAAAGGGUGCGUAGGCGGUUUGGCAAGUUUGGUGUGAAAUCUUCGGGCUCAACUCGAAGUCUGCAUCGAAAACUGCCGGGCUUGAGUAUGGGAGAGGUGAGUGGAAUUUCCGGUGUAGCGGUGAAAUGCGUAGAUAUCGGAAGGAACACCUGUGGCGAAAGCGGCUCACUGGACCAUAACUGACGCUGAUGCACGAAAGCUAGGGGAGCAAACAGGAUUAGAUACCCGCGUAGUCCCUGUCUCUUAUAA
This 301-nucleotide ribosomal RNA is filed under the name uncultured bacterium. Its description in RNAcentral is "partial 16S ribosomal RNA". It matches the Rfam family "Bacterial small subunit ribosomal RNA", at positions 509 to 809 of the family's 1533-position model. The record is from RNAcentral.